GGCCACAUGCUAACUGCUGUGGUGAUAUGUAAAGCGAAAUGUGAAAUGUGAGUCUUGCCCCUAACGAACUGUUGAAGAAAAAUUAUUCUGAGAUUUAAGAUGGCAAGGAAGACUUUAUUUAAGUUUAUUGCAGUAGUGAGAGAGAUUGAACUCGACUUUUAAUACAACAGUGGGGACUCACUGCCAAAGGGCAGGUGAGGGAAUGGAUGGAAAAUUAUUAAGAGAAACUUGGUUAAGUGCCAAGGGUGGAGGAGCUUGAUUGGAUAGCGAAGGUGAGCCGAUUCUUGACCGACUGGCUUACUGGGUACUUUGCUAAAACUGGGCUCAGCAGGCCAAGGGAGGCCUGGUGAAGUGGGUGUGAAGGAGGCUGACUAAAGUUGGCCCAAGGAGAGAGUUUUUGUCAGCGUUCACCAAGUAGUGCGAGUCAGGGCCCAAACAUUGGUCUUAGAAUGAUGAGAUUCAGGGCUGAACAGGGUGCCAGCCGUGGACACAGCUGGAGCUCGGAGAGGCGCCUGUGGGUGAGUUUGGGCUAUUCCAGUCCCUGACUUCAGGGCUGAUGAUUGGACAGUCACACUGACUUCAUCCCAUGUUCGUUCAUUUCUUACUACUCUGUGACAACCACAUACUCUUUGUCUGGUGCUUUGCAAGCUUGUGUUUCUAGGGUUUGAUACUUUCUACCACAAGUGAGGGUGGAAAGUACAAAGGCUUUAUUUAGACCUUGGACAAGGAUUUUAACCUCAUGUUUCUCUUCUGCAGUGUUGCGACAGUACCUGUAAUAGACUGAAUCAUGUCUCCCAAAAUUCAUAUAUUGAAACCCUAAGCCCCAACGUGACUCUGGAGAUACGGCCUGUAAGGAGAGGAAAGACCACGUGAGGAUACAGUGAGAAGGUGCCUGCCAAAAGCCAGGAAGAGAGAUUUCACUAGAAACUGAAUUGUCCAGCACCUUGAUCUUGGACUUCUUGCCUCUGGAACGUGGCGGAGACUUCAGGAAGCCCACACAAGUCAAGGGGCCAAAGCAAACCAGUGUCAGCAGGGGGAAAUCAGAGGGACUUCCCCCAAGUCCUUCCUGUCAAAGAAAGAAGCGUUAGAGACCUUCAUGAUGGAAAAAGCCACAUCUCAAGGACUAUUCCAGACUGGGUAAGUGUUACCUUAGUGGGGCUGCUACCCCUUGGGUUUUACUCCAGGACAAUGGGCUUCAUCCUUCAGCUCCAGGAAUCUGGGAUUUAAAGCAGGAUUUCACAGCUUCAAACAAUCUGAGGCUAAUGCUCACUUCCAAGGAGCAUGAGGGUCUUCUCAUUGGCAGCAGGUGGGAAGUGAUGGGCAUUUGGAUCCCUUGGUAUUCAUGGAUGAAUUGGAGGCCAGUGACAUGGUGAGCCAGUGACUCUGUGAGGCGUCUUCUGACAUUUUCUGCCCCUGCCUCUAACUUUCCCCACACGGACUGUAAGAACCAGCACUACAAGGACUCACUUAGACAUGCUCAUAACUGUUAAAGCAUCACUAGGGUCUGUACACGGACCAUGUCCCUUCACAACAAACAUCUUUUGAAUGUUCCUUCACAUUAGAGGAA
Orcinus orca (killer whale) is the source of this 1567-nucleotide long non-coding RNA. RefSeq lists it as uncharacterized. The transcript has 3 exons. The record is from RefSeq and is a predicted model, not a curated record. NCBI's taxonomy places the organism in Eukaryota, Metazoa, Chordata, Mammalia, Artiodactyla, Delphinidae.